CAGUAGCCGCGGUAAAACGAGGGGUGCAAGCGUUAUUCGGAUUGAUUGGGUGUAAAGGGUGUGCAGACGGCUUAUUAAGUCACUUGUUAAAUUCUUCGGCCUAACUGAAGGUCUGCAAGUGAUACUGAUGAGCUAGAGGGUGGAAGAGAGAAGUGGAAUUCUCGGAGUAGCGGUAAAAUGCGUAGAUCUCGAGAGGAACACCAAUGGCGAAGGCAGCUUCUUGGUCCAUUCCUGACGUUCAUACACGAAAGCGUGGGGAGCAAACAGGAUUAGAUACCCCCGUAGUCCCUGUCUCUUAUAC
RNAcentral lists this ribosomal RNA (301 nucleotides) under uncultured bacterium. RNAcentral describes it as "partial 16S ribosomal RNA". It matches the Rfam family "Bacterial small subunit ribosomal RNA", at positions 509 to 807 of the family's 1533-position model. The record is from RNAcentral.